RNAcentral lists this ribosomal RNA (492 nucleotides) under uncultured bacterium. RNAcentral describes it as "partial 16S ribosomal RNA". It matches the Rfam family "Bacterial small subunit ribosomal RNA", at positions 29 to 507 of the family's 1533-position model. The record is from RNAcentral.
AGUGAACGCUGGCGGUAGGCCUAACACAUGCAAGUCGAACGGCAGCACAGUAAGAGCUUGCUCUUACGGGUGGCGAGUGGCGGACGGGUGAGGAAUACAUCGGAAUCUACUUUUUCGUGGGGGAUAACGUAGGGAAACUUACGCUAAUACCGCAUACGACCCACGGGUGAAAGCAGGGGAUCUUCGGACCUUGCGCGAUUGAAUGAGCCGAUGUCGGAUUAGCUAGUUGGCGGGGUAAAGGCCCACCAAGGCGAUGAUCCGUAGCUGGUCUGAGAGGAUGAUCAGCCACACUGGAACUGAGACACGGUCCAGACUCCUACGGGAGGCAGCAGUGGGGAAUAUUGGACAAUGGGCGCAAGCCUGAUCCAGCCAUACCGCGUGGGUGAAGAAGGCCUUCGGGUUGUAAAGCCCUUUUGUUGGGAAAGAAAAGCAGCAGGUUAAUACCCCGCUGUUCUGACGGUACCCAAAGAAUAAGCACCGGCUAACUUCGUG